RNAcentral lists this microRNA precursor (132 nucleotides) under Brassica napus (rape). Its description in RNAcentral is "MIR9563 microRNA precursor family". It matches the Rfam family "MIR9563 microRNA precursor family". Lineage: Eukaryota; Viridiplantae; Streptophyta; Magnoliopsida; Brassicales; Brassicaceae. The record is from Rfam by way of RNAcentral.
GGAAUAUAACAAACCGUCUCUUAUCUUUUAAUUAAAAAAACUAAUUAAGAACCGACUCUUAAAUAAGAUAUUUAAGAGCCAGUUCUUAAUUAGUUUUUUAGUUAAAAGGUAAAAGAUGGUUUUUUAUAUUCU